GGAGCUUCAGCUUCAGCAUCAGUCCUUCCAAUGAAUAUUUAGGAUUGAUUUCCUUUAGGACUGAUUGGUUUGAUCUCCUUGCAGUCCAAGGGACUCUCAAGAGUCUUCUCCAACACCACGAUUCGAAAGCAUGAAUUCUAUGGCACUCAGCCUUCUUUAUGAUCCACCUCUCACAUUCAUACAUGACUACAGGAAAAACCAUAGCUUUGACUAUAUGGACCUUUGUUGGCAAAGUAAUGUCUCUGCUUUUUAAUAUGCUAUCUAGGUUGGU
This is a long non-coding RNA of Cervus elaphus (red deer), 271 nucleotides long. RefSeq lists it as uncharacterized. Lineage: Eukaryota; Metazoa; Chordata; Mammalia; Artiodactyla; Cervidae. The record is from RefSeq and is a predicted model, not a curated record. The transcript has 3 exons.